This 301-nucleotide long non-coding RNA is filed under the name Ictidomys tridecemlineatus (thirteen-lined ground squirrel). RNAcentral's name for it is "lncRNA (ENSSTOG00000031159.1)". The record is from RNAcentral. Lineage: Eukaryota; Metazoa; Chordata; Mammalia; Rodentia; Sciuridae.
GUUUGCCUGGGAUUGUCAUACUCUCCAGAGAUCCUGUUCCAAAAUGGCUCUGGAGUCACCUGCUGGGGACCUGCAGAGCAUGUGAGGAGAGAGGGGAGAACGUCUGGACCCAGGAGAGGCAGAACCUGGAGUGCACAUUCCUCAGCCUGAGGGGAUCUGAGCAAAUGGAGAAGUUGGCAGUGCCCUCAGCCUGGCCUGGGGUUUGGUGCCCCCCGAGCUCUUAUUUGCUGCUGGUUCUGUGGUGACAGAGCCUAAGCUAAGCCACCAGGAUUUCUGUGUUUGGUUUAUUUGUUUUAAAAAA